This is a long non-coding RNA of Ictalurus punctatus (channel catfish), 2026 nucleotides long. NCBI's taxonomy places the organism in Eukaryota, Metazoa, Chordata, Actinopteri, Siluriformes, Ictaluridae. The record is from Ensembl.
AAAUGAUUCAUUUUUCAUUUGUUAAUUUAUCACUUGAUUCAUAUUUUUAAAUGAUUAUUUUUUUUCACGUGUUAAUUUAUCAUGACUCCUUUUUUUCCAAAUGAUUCAUUUUUCACUUGUUAAUUUAUCACUUGAUCCAAUAACUAAUAUUCAGGACUGUUAUUUUCACUAAUACAUUUGAAGUUACACGUAAAAUAUCGGUCAUUUAAUAUCACAAUUUUAGUUCAUCCUAGUCCCAGGUUUCUCAGCUGUCACAUACAAAGGAUCAAAUCCAGACAAAAUCGGAGCUCCAGCUCCAACAAAUCAACUGCAAGAUGACUUUUAUCAUCAUCAUCAUCAUCAUCAACAUUAAUACACUUAAUGAUGGGAAAUCAUCUAUAUAGCUUUAUAGUUCUCAAAUUUUCCCCUUAAACCUUUAGGCCUUGGAGUCAGAUCAGUCCUUAGUGAAGGUGCAUUAACCCCCUCUACUGGUGAAUUACUGAACACAAUUCAACACCCAUUUUAAUUUUACAUUCAAUUCCAAUCUAUUUUAUUUUAUUUAUACAGUCCCUGAUGAGCAAACCAGAGGCGAAAAAAACAAAACAAAAAACAUCAUGAAGAAUCCUUGUCUCAAAAUGUACAGUAUAAACAUGUAGAAGAGUAAAGAGUCCUGGGAUGACCACUCCCAAGUCUUUAUGAUUACAGCAGCAAAUCUACAGAAUCCGGGUCAGAUUCAACACUGACGUAAGCAUGAGACUUGAACGUAAACAAACUGGAACCAUCCACCUGCAGCAGAAAGCGACAGGAGAGGUGAGAGGAACCACGGCAGGUUUUACGCCCAAGCCAGCACCGCUACCACCGAUAUCAACAGAUAUGCUCUCAUAUACUAAAAAGUGUACUAAACUGUACCUUCACGUGUCACUGAGGUGGUACCCUCUAUCGUCCACCUUAAACAUGGAUACAGUGUCCCUUUAAAAUAGAUUAGAUACAUAAUAAGAGUAGAGGUGUUACAAUUGGUAUCUCAAUCUGUUUCAAAUACCUGUAUCUAAAUCUAAAGUGGGCGUGUCCUAAACCAGAAGGGGUUUAUUUGUAUGUUUUUAAUGAACCUUACACCAAUGGAAGGAAGAUGUAAAGAUGUCAGCAUGGCAUGUGAAUUCUGGCUCUGACAGUUCCUCAACCUCAGCUACAUCACUCCAGGUCACGUAUGUGGAAGAGGGCAGAUAGCGCUUUCCUCCGGGUGUGUUACGCCACACUGUGACGUGUCGAAAAGACACGAUUGGCUGCUGUCUUGUGUCUCAAAGGAGCCGCGUGUUAGCAUUCACCCACCCCGAUUGGUAUCGUACCGUAUAGGUAUGGAGAAAAGGUACUAAAGCGUGUACCGGUGAGGAUAAAGAGUCCUUAUUAGUCACGUAUACAUUACAGCAGAGUGAAAUUCUUUUCUUCGGAUAUCCCAGCAUGUUAGGAAGCUGGGGUCAGAGCGCAGGGUCGGACGUGAUACUGCGCCCCCUGGAGCAGAGAGGGUUAAGGGCCUUGCUCAAGGGCCCAACAUUGGCAGCUUGGCAGCGCUGGGGCGUGAACCCCCGACAUUCUGAUCAGAAACCCAGAGCCUUAAUGGUCCUUGCCUUUGAUUCAGUUUGAAAAGUUCUUCGUCGCGUUUCUCCAUGGACAGUCAAAGCUCCGGUUACGGCUCUAGACUACUGAUCAGAAGGUCGAGUGUUCGAAUCCCAGUACAGCCCAGCGGUCACGGUUAACCCUAACCCUCGUCUGUGCUCAACUACAUAAACGCAUCAGCUUUUAAAACGUUAACGUCUUUGAACAGAACUUCCCGUCAGUCAUGUAUGGUCCACUAAUCGGGUUUCUCCAGCCCGCAGCACAGCGCACAUGGAUCCCCAGCUGUUCCUGAUCGAAUUCACAAACACACCUGUGUACACUUCAACACAACUCAUCGUUAACCUCACGCAGUACAGGAGGGACUCGCUAAUGAGCGGAACCUCCAAAUGAGCCAUCGCUGACCCGGGGCUGUAAGAGUAAUGAUCUGUAAUCCUGA